UUCGUGACGUACUGUUAAUUUCCACGUGCAGUGCGGUCUAGAAUGUAACAAAUUAAUUGAUGCGGGAUUGAGGGCUGCGCCACCCGAACGGGGUAACCAACAGAACCUGCGGGCCCCUUAUGGUUAACGUAGGCGGGAGCACUGUGCCCCAGGUUCAGGCAGGACGGGGCGACGGGAAGAUACUACGGAGGUGUACUUCGUAUAAAACCAGGAGUCACGCUCCGAUUUCGUUUUGAAGACACGGACAGGUAGGAACGUAUGGAGAGUAGCUGGUAAUCUUGCGGAAUACUUGUUGUAGUAACCCGUUCGCUAGGGAGUACACCUAGGAACUGGAAUUACUCGGGGAAUUGGGAACUGGUCAGAGUAAUAAAGGGCUAACGGCAACACACUCAACACAGGGAACGACAGGGGUGCAGGUUAACAAAGGUUUUACAGGUACUGGAACGACGGUUAAGGGUACAAAUUAUAUAGGAAUAAAUCACAGGUAAAUAAGGCUGGUUAAUAGCAAAAGGCACUGGUAAAGAUAGAAGCAAAAGCAAAAGUUACAAACACUGGACUGACACAGGUAUAUAUAUCUUGGAGAUCUGGUGGGGAAGACGAUUAGGAGGGGCGAAAUUAAGUGGAAAUAUCUGGGGGAAAUCUCAUUUACUGGUUUUGGGCAGAUUAUUUCCUUACCCUUAAUUUCGUUUCCUCACACACAGCUACUUC
Molecule: long non-coding RNA, 708 nt
Organism: Photinus pyralis (common eastern firefly)
Lineage: Eukaryota; Metazoa; Arthropoda; Insecta; Coleoptera; Lampyridae
Exons: 3
Source: RefSeq, a predicted model, not a curated record